Molecule: ribosomal RNA, 497 nt
Filed under: uncultured bacterium
Lineage: Bacteria
Description: partial 16S ribosomal RNA
Rfam family: Bacterial small subunit ribosomal RNA
Source: RNAcentral
GACGAACGCUGGCGGCGUGCCUAAUACAUGCAAGUAGAACGCUGAAGAGACGAGCUUGCUCUUCUUGGAUGAGUUGCGAACGGGUGAGUAACGCGUAGGUAACCUGCCUUGUAGCGGGGGAUAACUAUUUGAAACGAUAGCUACUACCGCAUAACACUGGAUGACACAUGUCAUUUAUUUGAAAGGGGCAUUUGCUCCACUACAAGAUGGACCUGCGUUGUAUUAGCUAGUAGGUGAGGUAAUGGCUCACCUAGGCGACGAUACAUAGCCGACCUGGGAGGGUGAUCGGCCACACUGGGACUGAGACACGGCCCAGACUCCUACGGGAGGCAGCAGUAGGGAAUCUUCGGCAAUGGGGGCAACCCUGACCGAGCAACGCCGCGUGAGUGAAGAAGGGUCUCGGAUCGUAAAGCUCUGUUGUAAGUCAAGAACGGGUGUGAGAGUGGAAAGUUCACACUGUGACGGUAGCUUACCAGAAAGGGACGGCUAACUACGUG